UACGAAGGUGUCUAGCGUUGUUCGGAAUCACUGGGCGUAAAGCGCACGUAGGCGGACUUUCAAGUCAGGGGUGAAAUCCCGGGGCUCAACCUCGGAACUGCCUUUGAUACUGUUGGUCUCGAGUCCGAUAGAGGUGGGUGGAAUUCCUAGUGUAGAGGUGAAAUUCGUAGAUAUUAGGAAGAACACUGGUGGCGAAGGCGGCCCACUGGAUCGGUACUGACGCUGAGGUGCGAAAGCGUGGGGAGCAAACAGG
Molecule: ribosomal RNA, 253 nt
Filed under: uncultured bacterium
Lineage: Bacteria
Description: partial 16S ribosomal RNA
Rfam family: Bacterial small subunit ribosomal RNA
Source: RNAcentral